GGCGAACGGGUGAGUAACACGUGGGUGAUCUGCCUUGCACUUCGGGAUAAGCCUGGGAAACUGGGUCUAAUACCGGAUAGGACCAUGCUUUAGUGUGUGUGGUGGAAAGUUUUUUCGGUGCAAGAUGAGCUCGCGGCCUAUCAGCUUGUUGGUGGGGUAAUGGCCUACCAAGGCGUCGACGGGUAGCCGGCCUGAGAGGGUGUACGGCCACAUUGGGACUGAGAUACGGCCCAG
Molecule: ribosomal RNA, 234 nt
Filed under: uncultured Actinomycetales bacterium
Lineage: Bacteria; Bacillati; Actinomycetota; Actinomycetes; Actinomycetales
Description: partial 16S ribosomal RNA
Rfam family: Bacterial small subunit ribosomal RNA
Source: RNAcentral